This 4402-nucleotide long non-coding RNA is filed under the name Homo sapiens (human). RNAcentral's name for it is "HSALNT0143525". Lineage: Eukaryota; Metazoa; Chordata; Mammalia; Primates; Hominidae. The record is from RNAcentral.
GGCGGGCACCUGUAGUCCCAGCUACAGGAGGGAGGCUGAAGCAAGAGGUUCGCUUGAACCUGGAAGGUGGAGAUUGCAGUGAGCUGAGAUCACACCACUGCACUCUAGCCUGGGCGACAGAACGAGACUCCAUCUCAAUGAAAAUAAAUAAAUAAAUAAAUAAAUAAAUAAAUAUAUAAAUAAAUAAAAAUUAUGAAGAAAGAAACACAGAGAAGAGGAGAGGCCAGAGGAGGAAUUUCUCUGCUGUAAAUGGAAGUAAAAAGCAGCAAUUUUACAUUAUGGUUUAGGCAUCCAGAUCUUCAGUAGGAAAAAGACAGGCAUUCCAACCACAAGACGCAGAGAAGAGCAGGACAGAGCCUCAAGAGGCAGAGAAGAGCAGGGCAAAGCCUCUGAAGCAGGAGAGGAAGAGACCAACUUAGGAGGACACCUCUGUAGGAAUGUCUGGACCAGCAGUACAGAUGGGGUGGAGGCAGGAGGUGAAGCUGAGAAAAUAAGCAAGGACCUGUUUCUGCUGCCCCAGUUUUGGGGGCACUGUUUGAAUGUGUCCAUCUAUUAUGUAUCAAAAAUAUAAUAAAAAUAAGUAAAUAAUUUAAAAAUAGGGUUGGGGGGAAUUUUUUUAAAGGGGUAGUCAAAGAGACCAUUCUGAUAGGAGGUAUUUGAAGAGGCAUCUGAUUAUGAAGUGUUUUGUAUGCUAUGCUGAGGAUUUUGAGCUUCAUCUUUAACAUGGAAAAUUUAGGAAAGAUUUUAAUGGUGCAAUGAAGCAAGGAGAUAAUGCAUUUUUUUUCUUAAGGUUACUUUUGGUGACAAUAGUUAGAAUUGAACAGGCUCAAAAAUUCCAGGGCUGGGCAAGUUGGCUCGCGCCUGUAAUCCUAGCACUUGGGAAGGCUGAGGUGGAAGGAUGGCUUGAGGCCAGGAGUUCGAAAGCAACCUGGUCAACAGAGUAAGACUCAAUCUCUACAAAGAAGAAAUGAAAUAAUUCUCCGGGCAUUGUGGUGUACACUUUCAUCCCAGCUAUUUGGGAGGCUGAGGUGGAGAAUCACUUGAACCCAAGAGUUGGAGGCUUUAGUGAGCUGUGAUCACACCACUGCACUCUAGCCCUGGCAACAGAGCAAGACCUUGCCUCAAAAAGCAAACAAAUAAAAAAGAACAAUAGGUUUGGAAGAUAUUGAAAAAGUCCUGAGUAGAAACUAAAUUGGGGUAGGAAAUGAAGAAAUAUUUUUAAGAGGCGUAAUCAUCCAAAAUCAUCCAAAUUUUGUUUAGAAAGACAUUGCUGACUGAUUUGAUUCAUUCAUCCAUGAUUCAUUCAUCUAUUUCUUUUUUUUUUCAUUCAUUCAUUUAUUCCACAAAUAUUUUGACUGCCAUGUAGUAGGCAUGCAUGUGUUGGGCAGUGAACCAAACAGAUGCUCAGCUCUCAUUUGGUUUAUAGCCUAGAAGGGGAAAAGUAUAAGAAGUAAAUAUAGUUGUGGAAUUACAGAUUAAUAGGUACAAUAUAUAGUUAGAAGAAAUAAGAUCUAGCAUUUGAUAGAUCAAUAGGGUGAUUAUAGUUAACAUUCUUCUAUUGUAUAUUUCAAAAAGUUAGAAAGUAAUUUGAAUGUCCACAGCAUAAAGAAAAGGUAAAACACUUAAGGCAAUGGAUAUCCCAAUUACUCCGAUUCAAUCUUUAUGCACAAUAUGAAUGUAUCAAAUUAUUAUAUGUACCCCCAAAAUAUAUGCACCUAUUAUGUAUUGUUAACAAAUAAUAAAAAUAAAUAAAAUUGUUAACAUAGGGUUGACAGGACUAUUUUUUUAAUGGGGUCGUUCGAAAGACUGUUCUGAUAAGGAAAUACCUGAGUAGGCACCUGAAAGAAGUGAAGGAAUGAGCCCUGUAAUAUAUUCAGGACACAGGUUUUCUGGACAGAAUCAAUGGUAUAAUCAUAGUCCCUAAAGCAGUGCAUGCUGGGAAGGUGUUUUUGUGAGAGGAGGAGCAGUCUGGAGGGUACUGCAUUUUCAGAGAUUGUCCUUCGCCUUCAGUGUCUCUUUUCUUUGUCCCCAGUCAUAAAACCUCCCUUGCUCUCUCUCAGAGUCUAGAAUGUCCUACUAGCUGUUGGAACCUGCUGGAGUUCUAAAGGCAUGCGAUGUCCUGAAUGUGCUUGACCAAUGGACACAGCAGGAUGUGCUCCUGAGGUGCUCCCCAUGCCAGGAUGUGCCUGUGGUUUCCUCAAGAGCUACUUGGAUACACCGCAUACCCUUGGAUCCAGCACUGCUAGAGACUCUGCAGAAACUCUGCAACUUUAACUGGAAACCUCUCUACUGUUGUUGUUCCCUUGGAAAAUGACUAUUUGCCACUUCAGCUGCCAAAUAUCUCCUCCCAAUAUGUUCUGUGAGCAUUCAGUCUGCUCAAAGUCUUGUGUAAUGGUGGAUAUAUGAUGACAUUUGUUUCAAGCUAGGCUCACAUAUCCAUCUAUCUCAGGGGCUACAUGAUUUACUUGCCAUUUUUUAAACUUUUACUUGUAAUUAACAAAUAAUAAUUGUAUAUAUUUAUGGGAUACAAUGUGAUGUUUUCAUAUAUGUAUACAUUGUGGAAUGAUUAUAUCAAGCUAAUUAAAUUAGGCAUCAUCUCAUAUACUUUUCUAUACUGAAAACAUUUAAGGCCUAUUCUUUCAGCAAUUUUGAGAUAUAAAAGACAUUAUUGUUAAUUAUGGUCACCACACUGUGCAAUAGCAUUGAAAACUUAUUUGUCAUGUCUAACUAAAACUUUGUACUCUUUGACCAACAUUCUCCCAUUCCCUGUACCCCACCCCUCUCCACCCCACCCUCUGGUAAACAUCACUCUACUCUCUACCUUUAUAAGUUCAACUUUUUGAAGAUUCUGCAUAUGAGAUUAUACAGUAUUUGUCUUUCUGUGACAGGCUUAUUUUACUCAGCACAAUGUCCUACAGGUUCAUCAUGUUGUUGCAAAUGACAGGAUUGCCUUCUUUUUUAAGGCUGAAUAGUAUUCCACUGUGUAUAUGUUUUCUAUAGCCAUUCAUCUGUUGAUGGACACUCAAGCCAAUUUCAUACUUGGCAAUUGUGAAUAAGGCUGCAGCGAACAUGGGAAUGCAGAUAUCUCUUCAACAUAUUGAUUUCCAAUCCUUUGGAUAUAUACCCAGUAUUAGGAUCACAUGGUAGGCUUAUUUUCAGUUUUUUGAAGCUCCUCCAUGCAGUUUUCCAUAGUGACUAUACUAAUUUACAUUCCCUCCAACAAUGUACAAGGAUUCCCUUUUCUCUACAUCAUUGCCAACCUUGUUAUCCCUUGUCUUUUUUUGCUAGUAACCAUUCUAACAAGUGUAAGGUGAUAGUUCAUUGUCAUUUUGAUUUGCAUUUCCUUGAUGACUAGUAACAUUUAAAAAAUAUCCUAUUGGCCAUUUGUAUGUCUUCUUUUGAGAAAUAUCUAUUUCAGUUUUUUGUCCAUUUUCAAACUGGGUUACUUGUUUUCUUGCUAUUCAGUUACGUAUGGGAAAAAAUCAUAUGAACUAAAGAGAGUUAUUCUUGACUGCCUUGUUAUAUCUUGUUUACAUAUCAUAAGCAUUAAUUUUUAAUUUAUUAAAUAAAUCAAUAAAUAUUUAUGAGUGUUAUGUAUUCCUAUGUCAAGUUAUUUACAUUAUAAUAUCACUUCCACUCAGUUGAUUUCUUUGUUGACAGCACCCUCUUUAUGACUAAUGCUAAAACCUACUUGGAUUGAUUUAGACAAAAGGACACUGUUUCAGGAAAAAUUCUGGGGAAAUAAUUAAAAAUAUGACCUUGAUGACUUUCAAGGGCCACAAUCAUCUAGAGGAAAAUUAACUAUCUUUAACAGUGGGUUUACUGCAUUUGGGAAGUAGAAUCAUUCACUUUAGAAAAAUAACUAUAAUCAUGGCGGAUGAAAUAAAAAGAGAUUUUUGAAUUGUUUGUGUAAGCCCAAAUGUUGAAGUUAACUGUUUUUGUGAGGUUUUCCACUUGUUUGCUUUUGUUUUUGCAUAUAGAGAAGUAGAAAUGUUGCCUGGCUUUCUUCUGAGUCUGGGUAAAGCUCGAGGGAGGGGUAUAAUGGAGGGAACUAAUGCGAAUUGAGCUAGACUUGGUGCAGUCAUAUGCAAGAUCUCAGUUCAUAUCACAAACGCCCUUAGAAGGAGAUUCAGCUAUUCUUGUUUUCCAGAUAAGGAAAGUGAGGAUCGAAAGGCCUCAGACAUGAUCACAUCCAGUCGAAGCCUGAGACCUGUGGCCCCUGACUCUUUAGAAUCCCUUUCAUCAGACUAUAAAAUUUCUUGUCAGACAAUGAGGUUUUCUAGAUAUACAAUCAUGUCGUCUGCAAACAGGGACAAUUUGACUUCCUCUUUUCCUAACUGAAUACCCUUUAUUUCCUUCUCCUGCCUAAUUGCCCUGGCCAGAACUUCCAACACGAUGUUGA